Molecule: long non-coding RNA, 1131 nt
Organism: Oxyura jamaicensis (ruddy duck)
Lineage: Eukaryota; Metazoa; Chordata; Aves; Anseriformes; Anatidae
Exons: 2
Source: RefSeq, a predicted model, not a curated record
AGGGACAGUUGCUGUGGUCCCCAGUGGGGUCUGUAGAGCCUCUCCACCCGCUGGUCACCUUUUCUUUCCCAUCUGCAGCAGGGGGCAGGAUUUGGGAAGAUGCCACCAUCCCGCAGCAGCAGCAAGAGGGCUUUGUGGUCCCUACAGCUGCAGGAGGCAAUGUCUUCAAUACACAGGGGAAAAAAAAAUGGGUAUCUGUGAAAUGUCCAAGACUUAAAUACCAGGGCACUGAUCUGAGAGACCCACACAAAGCACGCCUCUCUGGGUGAUUUCUAAUUCUCCUGGCCCUGAUACGGCUGUAAACAGUGGCUUAAAAUUGGUCCCUCCUGGAACAAAUGAAAAGCAGAAGGGAAGGAAGGGCACUGUUAUCACUUCUUUCCCAUACACCUCCCUCCCUCAGACAAAGAAGUAUGCAGUUACAUGGACAAUUUAGGGGCAGCAGCCAAGCAGGAAUAACUCUAAAAUUCAUGUUUUAAUAACAACAACAGCAAUAAGCACACAACAGCAUUUAUAACCCUAGUUACAGGCCUGGGAUAUCAUAUCCAUAGCAACUGCAGCAAGUGCUGGAUGCCGUAUAUUUAGAGUUCCCGAGCACCUGCCUAAAAUAGCCGCCGAUAAAUUAUGCUGAUGUUUGUGCCUUUCAGAAAGCGUUCAAAAGACGGCCGCAAAACCGCGCCAAGCCUUCGCAAUGGGAAUCUCACUUUCGUACCAAACGUCCACAGACUCACGUUCGCCUCCCCUUUUGCAUCUCCGAACGUGACGAACGAGCCCAAGGAGCCACCUCAGCAGCGAGCGCGGCAGCGAGCGGCAAGAAUACCACUAACCUCCCACCUGGGAGCAGGAUCAGAGCUCCACCCAAUGCAAUGGGCAGAAAGGAUCGCCCCUGUCCCGUCCCAUGCUUGCUGCGCUGAGCACGGUGGGUUUCCACAUGGGAGCCCAACAGAGCAUCCUCCUGAGGUUGUUUUUAACCUCAGGUAUACAAUCAUUUAUUUAAAAUUGACUUCAAAAUAAACUUCUUGUUUCUCUGUGUCUUUACAGUUGAUGGAAGUGGAUAUAGGAAAAUUAAGAUUAUUUGUUCUAAUUUAACACAACACGUAAUAGAACCCAAAAUAAAGUCAAUAGUGGCUUAAA